UUUGCCUGUUUGGCAGGUGACAAACAAGACAGCGAUUUCUAUAGCCCUAUCUCUAUAUUCCAUCCUUGUGCAACUGAACUAACAUCCUGAGAAAGGGAAGAGGAAAGAUUCAUCUCCUUCUCCCUUCGGCAGACACAGACAGAGAAGUGACUUCACAAAACCGUUCCACUUUGAUCCAAGAUCAGAGAGGUUUUUAAAAGGCAGAGUGUUUGUGUGCAUGGAAACAGCAGGGAGAGAGCCCCUCUGUCUGUUCCUUGUAAUGCAAGCCAGCGCAUGCAUUUCUUGCAUGAGCAACAAGACUCACCCCAGGGGAAUGACAGCUUGAAAGUUCAGAAUGACACUGAAGGAAACAUCAAAGAUUCUUCAAGAGCAAAAAAAAGUUUAGGAUGAGAUUCUUCGUCACAGUGUCAUCAUACAGGGUAACUCCACAAAUUUCUCUGGAGCUGAAAUUCAUCACUGAAGGAGAAACUGAAUUUAGGCUCCGUCUACUGUCACUAGAGAGGAAAAAGCGAAUCUUCUUCUCAGAACGAGAAAGAAAAGCUAUCUUAGAUUAGCCUGGACCCCAUAAAUACUUCUGUCAAAAAUUUAUUUCUGAUAAAUUGGCACUUCUUGAUUAGGCCUCACCCCUUCCCUUCCUUCUCAUCAGGAAACUUUUACCAUUUAUAAACACAAAUGCUACAACAUGCCUGACAAUAUAUUUUAUUUUAAAGGACUCCACAGUAAUUAUUUUGGUGCAAUACUGUAUCUAUUAGCUAAGAAAGGGUUUGUUCUGUGCAGUUUUAAUUAACUUCUCAGGAAAAUAACUGCUAUUCAUAUUCUCAAAGAGCUACAUUUGCAAAACAUGUAAAACUCAGUUUUAUAAUUAAGUUUAACAAAUGAGAAAAUUUUAUUUUUUGGACUGUUCUGCAAUUGUCCUUGACUGGUACCACAGUGAUGCUGACAUUUUUGUGUUAGCCUUUUACAGACUUUUAACAUACCUGGAAAAUGCACGAUUUGGUGAAAAAACAAGAUGAAGAGCUGUAAGCAGAGUAACUAGUGAUUGUUUGGGACUGUGAAAUUAAGAUACGUUUCAAGGAUAAUGUUAUUUUCAACAGUGGCCAGACUAUGCUACACAUAAUCUACGCUAACAGGAAAACGUGGAAAAAAAACUUACCUUGCUGAAGCCAAUGAGAGUUUUGCUACAAAAUUCAACGCUGAAAAAAGUUCUACCUAUCCUUCUUGCUCCCUAUUUUUUUUCUCAUAGAUGAGUUUUUGUCACCCUGACCCAAAAUCAAAAUAUUCACCAGUCUUUUUAUAUUUUGAGCAUGAAUCUCUAAAGUUACUCUAUGUUAUAGUAAUACAACUGAAGUCAACAGAAUGAGAAUCUAAAACUGUAAUACAUUGGUGCAUUAGGCUCAUUGUUUAUAAAAUUAACAUAAACAUGGCUGGAAAACUCCUUUCUAUGUACUAAAUCCAGCAGGCAGCUCUAGCAGUUAGACAGAAAGGAGGGUCAGAUGGCUGAUGCUGCCUGUGAAUAUAUUGCAAGGGGUACUUCUUGACUGCAUGCCUUUUUCU
Molecule: long non-coding RNA, 1554 nt
Filed under: Struthio camelus australis
Lineage: Eukaryota; Metazoa; Chordata; Aves; Struthioniformes; Struthionidae
Description: lncRNA (ENSSCUG00000007387.1)
Source: RNAcentral